AUUUUCCAUUAACAGGGGUUUGCUGGAGUUAAAUCAUCUCAUCCUUUAGAAGGACAUGUUAGCUGGGUAUGAAAUUCUGGAUUAGCGCUUAUUUUCUUUCAGAACUUUGAAGAUAUUCCAUUGUCUCUGGCUUCUACAGUUUCCACUGAUAAGUUACCUGGCAGCCUCAUUGUUGUUGUUCCAGUCAAGAAAAUGAUUUGUGGAAAUGAUUUUGUGGAAAAAUGAGCCAGAAAAAUCUUAUGAUGAAUCAAGAUACCACAUGAAUGGAGCAAUUUUUUUUUUCGAGACAAGCUCUUGCUCUGUCCCCCAGGCUGGAAUGCAGUGGUGCAAUCAUAGCUCACUGUUACCUCGAUUUCCCUGGCUCAAGCGAUCCUCCUGCC
This 380-nucleotide long non-coding RNA is filed under the name Homo sapiens (human). Its description in RNAcentral is "LNC_000692". The record is from RNAcentral. Lineage: Eukaryota; Metazoa; Chordata; Mammalia; Primates; Hominidae.